UUUGUUUCAUUUUCUGAUUAAUAAACUCUCUCUUCUAGAGAGUUCUCUCAGACGCUUCUCCUUCUCUCUAAAUUCUCUCACUACAUUCUCCAUGAUUCUUCAGUUUAAUCUCAAAGUUUUCAUGGUAUCAGAGCCUCGAUGAUGAUCCUAGUAUGUUUUUCUGCAUCUUGUUAUCUUGGUUGAAGUAUUCUUUGAGAUUUUUGGGGGUGUUUCUGACGUAUGUGGUCGAUGAUGAUUCCGAUCUAAAUUGGAUGCUUUUCUGAGACUCCCAUCGUGAUAUCUGAGUAUAUUUUCUUCACUCGAACGUUCUGGGAGAUUUUCCGAUGAUUUUUGGGUGACUUUUCGGUGACCUAUCGGCUUCUAGGGUUUCUGGUGGUUUAACCUUGGGUUUUACUGCUAUCCGGUGGCUCGAUCCUCACUCAGUGGAUGUUUAG
This 434-nucleotide long non-coding RNA is filed under the name Nicotiana benthamiana. Its description in RNAcentral is "long non-coding RNA (NBEN_LNC017012)". The record is from RNAcentral. Lineage: Eukaryota; Viridiplantae; Streptophyta; Magnoliopsida; Solanales; Solanaceae.